This 617-nucleotide ribosomal RNA is filed under the name uncultured bacterium. RNAcentral describes it as "bacterial SSU rRNA". It matches the Rfam family "Bacterial small subunit ribosomal RNA", at positions 56 to 650 of the family's 1533-position model. The record is from RNAcentral.
UGCAGUUGAGCGGUAAGGCCCCUUCGGGGGUACACGAGCAGCGAACGGGUGAGUAUCGCGUGGGUAACCUACCCAGAGGUGGAGGAUAGCCCCGGGAAACCGGGGGUAAUACUGCAUAUGUCCUCGAUGACACAAGUCGAUGAGGGCAAAGGCGGGGAUUCUUCGGAACCUGUCGCCUUUGGAUGGGCCCGCGUCCGAUUAGCUUGUUGGUGGGGUAACGGCCCACCAAGGCUUCGAUCGGUAGCCGGCCUGAGAGGGUGAACGGCCACAUUGGGACUGAGACACGGCCCAGACUCCUACGGGAGGCAGCAGUGGGGAAUAUUGGGCAAUGGGGGAAACCCUGACCCAGCGACGCCGCGUGGAGGAUGACGGCCUUCGGGUUGUAAACUCCUGUCAGGUGGGAAGAAAAGCCUCGUGGCUAAUAUCCACGAGGAAUUGACGGUACCACCAAAGGAAGCCCCGGCUAACUCCGUGCCAGCAGCCGCGGUAAUACGGAGGGGGCAAGCGUUAUUCGGAUUUACUGGGCGUAAAGCGCACGUAGGUGGCAUGAUAAGUCAAAGGUGAAAGCCCUCGGCUCAACCGAGGAACUGCCUUUGAAACUGUCUUCUUUGAGUCCG